GAGUUUGAUCAUGGCUCAGGAUGAACGCUAGCGACAGGCUUAACACAUGCAAGUCGAGGGGCAGCGGGGGAGUAGCAAUACUCCCGCCGGCGACCGGCGCACGGGUGAGUAACACGUAUGCGACCUGCCCCCCGCAGGGGGAUAACCGGGAGAAAUCCCGACUAAUACCGCGUAACGCCGCGGGGCUGCAUGGCCCCGCGGCCAAAGGAAGCGAUUCCGGCGGGGGAUGGGCAUGCGGCGCAUUAGCUAGUCGGCGGGGUAACGGCCCACCGAGGCGACGAUGCGUAGGGGUUCUGAGAGGAAGGUCCCCCACACUGGUACUGAGACACGGACCGGACUCCUACGGGAGGCAGCAGUGAGGAAUAUUGGUCAAUGGGCGGAAGCCUGAACCAGCCAAGUCGCGUGAGGGAAGACGGUCCUAUGGAUUGUAAACCUCUUUUGCAGGGGAGCAAGGCGCGGUACGUGUACCGCGAAGGAGAGUACCCUGAGAAAAAGCAUCGGCUAACUCCGUGCCAGCAGCCGCGGUAAUACGGAGGAUGCGAGCGUUAUCCGGAUUUAUUGGGUUUAAAGGGUGCGCAGGCGGACUGUUAAGUCAGCGGUAAAAUGUCGGUGCUCAACACCGGCCGGCCGUUGAAACUGGCAGCCUUGAGUGAGCGAGAAGUAUGCGGAAUGCGUGGUGUAGCGGUGAAAUGCAUAGAUAUCACGCAGAACUCCGAUUGCGAAGGCAGCAUACCGGCGCUCAACUGACGCUGAGGCACGAAAGCGUGGGUAUCGAACAGGAUUAGAUACCCUGGUAGUCCACGCAGUAAACGAUGAAUGCUAGCUGUCCGGGGCUUCGGUCCUGGGUGGCACAGCGAAAGCGUUAAGCAUUCCACCUGGGGAGUACGCCGGCAACGGUGAAACUCAAAGGAAUUGACGG
RNAcentral lists this ribosomal RNA (919 nucleotides) under uncultured bacterium. Its description in RNAcentral is "bacterial SSU rRNA". It matches the Rfam family "Bacterial small subunit ribosomal RNA", at positions 9 to 916 of the family's 1533-position model. The record is from RNAcentral.